This 243-nucleotide ribosomal RNA is filed under the name uncultured bacterium. RNAcentral's name for it is "partial 16S ribosomal RNA". It matches the Rfam family "Bacterial small subunit ribosomal RNA", at positions 111 to 354 of the family's 1533-position model. The record is from RNAcentral.
UAACGCGUGAGGAACCUGCCUUUCGGAGGGGGACAACAGUUGGAAACGACUGCUAAUACCGCAUGAUACAUCGAAGCCGCAUGGCUUUGAUGUCAAAGAUUUAUCGCCGAAAGAUGGCCUCGCGUCUGAUUAGCUUGUUGGUGAGGUAACGGCUCACCAAGGCGACGAUCAGUAGCCGGCCUGAGAGGGCGGACGGCCACACUGGGACUGAGACACGGCCCAGACUCCUACGGAAGGCAGCAG